Molecule: ribosomal RNA, 460 nt
Filed under: uncultured bacterium
Lineage: Bacteria
Description: partial 16S ribosomal RNA
Rfam family: Bacterial small subunit ribosomal RNA
Source: RNAcentral
CCUACGGGUGGCAGCAGUGAGGAAUAUUGGUCAAUGGACGCAAGUCUGAACCAGCCAUGCCGCGUGCAGGAAGACGGCUCUAUGAGUUUUAAACUGCUUUUGUACGAGGGUAAACGCAGCUACGUGUAUCCGUCUGAAAGUCUCGUACGAAUAAGGAACGGCUAAAUCCGUGCCAGCAGCCGCGGUAAUACGGAGGAUUCAAGCGUUAUCCGGAUUUAAUGGGUUUAAAGGGUGCGUAGGCUGUCGGAUAAGUUAGAGGUGACAUCCCGAGGCUCAACGUCGGAAUUGCCGCUGAUACUGUCCGGCUAGAGAGUAGUAGCGGUAGGCGGAAUGUAUGGUGUAGCGGUGAAAUGCUUAGAGAUCAUACAGAACACCGAUUGCGAAGGCAGCUUACCAAGCUACUUCUGACGUUGAGGCACGAAAGCGUGGGGAGCAAACAGGAUUAGAUACCCGAGUAGUC